This 395-nucleotide ribosomal RNA is filed under the name uncultured bacterium. RNAcentral describes it as "bacterial SSU rRNA". It matches the Rfam family "Bacterial small subunit ribosomal RNA", at positions 505 to 898 of the family's 1533-position model. The record is from RNAcentral.
GUGUCAGCAGCCGCGGUAAUACGUAGGGUGCGAGCGUUAAUCGGAAUUACUGGGCGUAAAGUGUGCGCAGGUGGCCUCGCAAGUCGAGUGUGAAAUCCCCGGGCUUAACUUGGGAAUUGCGCUCGAAACUACGGGGCUCGAGUGUGGCAGAGGGAGGUGGAAUUCCACGUGUAGCGGUGAAAUGCGUAGAGAUGUGGAGGAACACCAAUGGCGAAGGCAGCCUCCUGGGCCAACACUGACGCUCAUGCACGAAAGCGUGGGGAGCAAACAGGAUUAGAUACCCUGGUAGUCCACGCCCUAAACGAUGAUGACUAGUUGUUGGGGGAGUUAAAUCCCUUAGUAACGCAGCUAACGCGCGAAGUCAUCCGCCUGGGGAGUACGGUCGCAAGAUUAAA